GGACUGUGGCUCAGUGGUAGUGCACUUGCCUGGCAUGUGUGAGGCACUGGGUUCGAUUCUCAGCACCA
RNAcentral lists this transfer RNA (68 nucleotides) under Marmota monax (woodchuck). RNAcentral's name for it is "tRNA.Ala". Lineage: Eukaryota; Metazoa; Chordata; Mammalia; Rodentia; Sciuridae. The record is from RNAcentral.